RNAcentral lists this ribosomal RNA (232 nucleotides) under uncultured bacterium. RNAcentral's name for it is "partial 16S ribosomal RNA". It matches the Rfam family "Bacterial small subunit ribosomal RNA", at positions 1260 to 1500 of the family's 1533-position model. The record is from RNAcentral.
ACCGGAUGCGGAUCUCGAAAGCCUGUCCCAGUUCGGACUGGAGUCUGCAACCCGACUCCACGAAGUUGGAUUCGCUAGUAAUCGCGCAUCAGCCAUGGCGCGGUGAAUACGUUCCCGGGCCUUGUACACACCGCCCGUCAAGCCAUGGGAGCCGGGGGUGCUUGAAGUGCGUCGCCGCAAGGCGCGCCCUAGAGCAAAACCGGUGACUGGGGCUAAGUCGUAACAAGGUAAC